RNAcentral lists this ribosomal RNA (574 nucleotides) under Sclerophrys regularis (square-marked toad). RNAcentral describes it as "partial 16S ribosomal RNA". It matches the Rfam family "Bacterial large subunit ribosomal RNA", at positions 1838 to 2613 of the family's 2925-position model. Lineage: Eukaryota; Metazoa; Chordata; Amphibia; Anura; Bufonidae. The record is from RNAcentral.
GACCCACAUAAGAGGUCCAGCCUGCCCAGUGACUCUGUUCAACGGCCGCGGUAUCCUAACCGUGCGAAGGUAGCGUAAUCACUUGUUCUUUAAUUGUGGACUAGUAUGAAUGGCACCACGAGGGUUAUACUGUCUCCUUUUUCCAAUCAGUGAAACUAAUCUCCCCGUGAAGAAGCGAGGAUAACUAUAUAAGACGAGAAGACCCUAUGGAGCUUUAAACAUCAUAGCAACUACUACACAAUAUUUACCUUCCUGAACAUUUUAAUUUUUUUAAGUAGUCUGACUAUAAGUUUUUGGUUGGGGUGACCGCGGAGCAUAACAUAACCUCCAUGCUGAAGGAUUUAAUUCUAAGCUGAGACCUACGCCUCUAAGCAUCAGCACACUGACAUUAAUUGACCCAAUACAAUUGAGCAACGAACCAAGUUACCCUAGGGAUAACAGCGCAAUCCACUUCAAGAGCUCCUAUCGACAAGUGGGUUUACGACCUCGAUGUUGGAUCAGGGUAUCCUAAUGGUGCAGCCGCUAUUAAAGGUUCGUUUGUUCAACGAUUAAAACCCUACGUGAUCUGAGUUCA